Molecule: ribosomal RNA, 279 nt
Filed under: uncultured Staphylococcus sp.
Lineage: Bacteria; Bacillati; Bacillota; Bacilli; Caryophanales; Staphylococcaceae
Description: partial 16S ribosomal RNA
Rfam family: Bacterial small subunit ribosomal RNA
Source: RNAcentral
CCUUUGACGUUAGCGGCGGACGGGUGAGUAACACGUGGGUAACCUACCUAUAAUACUGGGAUAACUUCGGGAAACCGGAGCUAAUACCGGAUAAUAUUUCUAACCGCAUGGUUCGAUAGUGAAAGAUGGUUUUGCUAUCACUUAUAGAUGGACCCGCGCCGUAUUAGCUAGUUGGUAAGGUAACGGCUUACCAAGGCGACGAUACGUAGCCGACCUGAGAGGGUGAUCGGCCACACUGGAACUGAGACACGGUCCAGACUCCUACGGGAGGCAGCAGGA